Molecule: small RNA, 575 nt
Filed under: Pan troglodytes (chimpanzee)
Lineage: Eukaryota; Metazoa; Chordata; Mammalia; Primates; Hominidae
Description: retained intron
Source: RNAcentral
UCAACUGUUACUGCUAGGAGGAAGUUACUUUUUAAAAAAUAUUUCCAUAGAUACUGUUAGACUAAAAGAAACAGGUAGAUGCUUCAAAUAGAAUAAUAAACUGUUAAAUUCAGAAAGCCACUAUAUAUAAAGGAAAAAGACAUUGUACUUAAGGAUGCAAUUACUUUCUUUUUCCUGUUACAAUGUUCUAGGCCAGCUGCUUUUCUGCUUACCAUCAUUUAUGCUUAUAACUAAAGCAUGUCUCAUCUUUAAGACUAAUUUUUAUUUAUUUGUUUCUGUAGCUGUUUCUGUACCAAAUUCUACGUGGUUUGGCAUAUUGCCAUAGAAGAAAGGUAUUGCAUCGAGAUUUGAAACCACAGAACCUCCUCAUUAAUGAAAAAGGAGAAUUAAAGCUAGCAGAUUUUGGACUAGCCCGAGCCAAGUCGGUUCCCACAAAGACCUACUCAAAUGAAGUUGUCACACUAUGGUACCGGCCACCUGAUGUGCUUCUUGGUUCCUCGGAGUACUCAACACAGAUUGACAUGUGGGGUGUUGGUUGCAUUUUCUUUGAAAUGGCUUCUGGAAGACCUUUAUUU